CCCUACGGGGCGCAGCAGGCGCGAAAACUUUACAAUGCUGGAAACAGCGAUAAGGGGACCUCGAGUGCCAGGUUACAAAUCUGGCUGUCGUGAUGCCUAAAAAGCAUUGCAUAGCAAGGGCCGGGCAAGACCGGUGCCAGCCGCCGCGGUAACACCGGCGGCUCGAGUGGUAACCGUUAUUAUUGGGUCUAAAGGGUCUGUAGCCGGCCGGAUAAGUCUCUUGGGAAAUCUGGCAGCUUAACUGUCAGGCUUUCAGGAGAUACUGUCUGGCUCGAGGCCGGGAGAGGUGAGAGGUACUUCAGGGGUAGGGGUGAAAUCCUGCAAUCC
RNAcentral lists this ribosomal RNA (327 nucleotides) under uncultured archaeon. RNAcentral describes it as "bacterial SSU rRNA". It matches the Rfam family "Archaeal small subunit ribosomal RNA", at positions 321 to 648 of the family's 1478-position model. The record is from RNAcentral.